GACGAACGCUGGCGGCGUGCCUAAUACAUGCAAGUCGAGCGCAGGAAACUGACGGAACUCUUCGGAGGGAAGGCAGUGGAAUGAGCGGCGGACGGGUGAGUAACACGUAAGGAACCUGCCUCAAGGAUUGGGAUAACUCCGAGAAAUCGGAGCUAAUACCGGAUAGUUCAUCGGACCGCAUGGUCCGUUGAUGAAAGGCGCUCCGGCGUCACCUUGAGAUGGCCUUGCGGUGCAUUAGCUAGUUGGUGGGGUAACGGCCCACCAAGGCGACGAUGCAUAGCCGACCUGAGAGGGUGAUCGGCCACACUGGGACUGAGACAUGGCCCAGACUCCUACGGGAGGCAGCAGUAGGGAAUCUUCCACAAUGGACGAAAGUCUGAUGGAGCAACGCCGCGUGAGUGAUGAAGGUUUUCGGAUCGUAAAACUCUGUUGUAAGGGAAGAACACGUACGAGAGGGAAUGCUCGUACCUUGACGGUACCUUACGAGAAAGCCACGGCUAACUACGUGCCAGCCGCCGCAGUAA
RNAcentral lists this ribosomal RNA (524 nucleotides) under uncultured bacterium. RNAcentral's name for it is "partial 16S ribosomal RNA". It matches the Rfam family "Bacterial small subunit ribosomal RNA", at positions 28 to 523 of the family's 1533-position model. The record is from RNAcentral.